RNAcentral lists this ribosomal RNA (496 nucleotides) under uncultured bacterium. Its description in RNAcentral is "partial 16S ribosomal RNA". It matches the Rfam family "Bacterial small subunit ribosomal RNA", at positions 30 to 523 of the family's 1533-position model. The record is from RNAcentral.
UUGAACGCUGGCGGCAGGCCUAACACAUGCAAGUCGAGCGCGAAAGUUCUUCGGAAUGAGUAAAGCGGCGGACGGGUGGGUAACGCGUGGGAAUCUGCCUAGCAGUGGGGGACAACAGCCGGAAACGGCUGCUAAUACCGCAUACGCCCUACGGGGGAAAGGGGGGGAUCUUCGGACCUCUCGCUAUUAGAUGAGCCCGCGUCGGAUUAGCUAGUUGGUAGGGUAAAGGCCUACCAAGGCUACGAUCCGUAACUGGUCUGAGAGGAUGAUCAGUCACACUGGAACUGAGACACGGUCCAGACUCCUACGGGAGGCAGCAGUGGGGAAUAUUGGACAAUGGGGGCAACCCUGAUCCAGCCAUGCCGCGUGUGUGAAGAAGGCCUUAGGGUUGUAAAGCACUCUCAGUGGGGAGAAAGGUUUGUCACCUAAUACGUGAUGAAAUUGAUGUUACCCACAGAAGAAGGACCGGCUAACUCCGUGCCAGCCGCCGCAGUAA